ACAAGAGAAGGUUGGUACUGGAGGGAGGUGCUGCACCCACUGUUCAGAGGCACCUGCUGGCCAAACUACAAACACCAUAGAAAUAGAGACCACCUUUGCAAAACAAUACUAUGGAUGUGCAGCACUUUACUAUGCUAGAUGGAUGAGAACUUAGAGGAAGAUUGUUCAGAAAGAGGCUACUGAACAACUGAUUGCACGAUCCUCCCAACCAUCCCCAAGCAACAGUGAACCUGAUUAAGAGAUACCAGGCAAUUAAAUAAGGAAGAAAUUCCCAGGAAACAUGAACUGAAGAGAAAAAUACUGCAUUUAAUGCAGUAUGGCAGUAGUAUUUGUCCUAAACAGCUGAAAAGAUAAGUCAUAGUAAGACCAUUAAAAUAUCUUUAAUGAAGGAA
This is a non-coding RNA of Cyanistes caeruleus (blue tit), 392 nucleotides long. The record is from RefSeq and is a predicted model, not a curated record. Lineage: Eukaryota; Metazoa; Chordata; Aves; Passeriformes; Paridae.